This 63-nucleotide transfer RNA is filed under the name Xya japonica. RNAcentral's name for it is "tRNA-Pro". RNAcentral also lists the same sequence under 1 other name. Lineage: Eukaryota; Metazoa; Arthropoda; Insecta; Orthoptera; Tridactylidae. The record is from RNAcentral.
CAAAGAAUAGUUUAUAAAAUAUUAGUUUUGGAGACUAAAGAUGAGUAGAUUUCUCUUCUUUGA